GUAAGCUUCUGCUUCUUCAAUUCCGCAAUGUGUGUGCCUUGCCUGCGAUGCAGAGCUCGCCUGUACUUGCUUGCUCUCGAACUGCUCGACAGCCUUCUGACGUUCUGUUCUUGAUGUUUUUCCUUCUGUUCGUUUUUGCUUCUUCCAGCAGCAGGGAAAGAGAAGAGAGCCCGAGACCAUGGGGCCGCCCCGACGGACAAGAAUGCCAAUGGAGGCAACAGCAGCUCUGAGUUUGGUGGUGAUCGCACUUGCGUUCGCUGCACAGGUCGAGGCGUCGCCUUACGAGUACAAGUCUCCACCCCCGCCUGUUUACGAGACUCCUGCUCCAGUCUACAAGUACAAAUCUCCGCCCCCUCCACCACCGGUUUACAAGUACGCUUCUCCUCCCCCACCUGUUUAUCACGCUCCUGCUCCUGUCUACAAAUACAAAUCCCCACCUCCGCCUGUCUACCACUACAGCUCCCCACCACCACCAG
This 476-nucleotide long non-coding RNA is filed under the name Selaginella moellendorffii. RNAcentral describes it as "long non-coding RNA (SMOE_LNC000956)". The record is from RNAcentral. Lineage: Eukaryota; Viridiplantae; Streptophyta; Lycopodiopsida; Selaginellales; Selaginellaceae.